CCGGCGCACGGUGAGUAACGCGUAUGCAACUUGCCUAUCAGGAGGGGAUAACCCGGCGAAAGUCGGACUAAUACCGCAUGAAGCAGGGGCCCCGCAUGGGGAUAUUUGCUAAAGAUUCAUCGCUGAUAGAUAGGCAUGCGUUCCAUUAGGCAGUUGGCGGGGUAACGGCCCACCAAACCGACGAUGGAUAGGGGUUCUGAGAGGAAGGUCCCCCACAUUGGUACUGAGACACGGGCCAA
This 239-nucleotide ribosomal RNA is filed under the name uncultured bacterium. Its description in RNAcentral is "partial 16S ribosomal RNA". It matches the Rfam family "Bacterial small subunit ribosomal RNA", at positions 95 to 334 of the family's 1533-position model. The record is from RNAcentral.